This is an RNA transcript of Nannospalax galili (Upper Galilee mountains blind mole rat), 1222 nucleotides long. It is a transcript of the gene named peptidyl-prolyl cis-trans isomerase FKBP8 pseudogene, with no coding region annotated. The transcript has a single exon. NCBI's taxonomy places the organism in Eukaryota, Metazoa, Chordata, Mammalia, Rodentia, Spalacidae. The record is from RefSeq and is a predicted model, not a curated record.
AUGGCAUCCUGGGCUGAGCCCUAGGAGCCUGCUACUCAGCCUCCUGCUGGGGUAAGACCACUGGAGGACUUUCAGGUGUUGGAUGGGGUUGAAGAUGCUUAUGGGGAGGAAGAAAAGGAUGAAGAGGACAGUGAUCUGAGCAGGCUGCCACCACUGGAGGACAUAGGACAGCUGACACUGGAGGAGGCUGAGAAGCCAGGAGUUCUGGCUCCGGAGUUCCUGGCAACCACAGAGCCUGAGCCAGCCCCAGCAGACUGGACAUCCUUGGGAAUGGACUCCUGAGGAAGAAGACACUAGUCUGGGGCCACAGGGCUCCGCUGCCCACUCAAAGACCAGGUGGUGACUGUGCACCUGCAGAUGUCCCUGGUAAGUGUGCAGGAGGAGCCAGAGCUGUCCUUCAUGCUGGGAGACUGCGAUGUUAUCCAGGCCUUGGACCUCAGCGUUCUGCUCAUGGAUGUGGGUGAGGUGGCCGUGGUGACUGCUGUCUUUAAGUAUUGCUAUGGCCCCCAGGGCAUCAGGAGCCCAUGUGUCACCCCCCCACACCCCUCCGCCCCACCUCCGCAUGCAGCCCUGUGCCUGGGGGUCACCCUGAAGACGGCUGAGGAUGGCCCUGACCUGGAGCUGCUGAGCAGCCAGGAGCGUGUGGCCCUGGCCAACUGGAAGAGGAAGUUGCCAACGCCCACUACCAGCAGGCUGACUUUGUGCUGGCUGCCAACUCCUAUGACCUGGCCAUCAAGGCCAUCACCUUCAGCACCAAAGUGGACACGUCCUUUGAGGAGGAGGAGUAGCUGAUGCAGUUCAAGGUGAAGCGUUUGAACAACCUGUGGGCAUCACAGCUGAAGCUGGACCACCACCGCAUGGCGCUGGGCUCCUGCAGCCUGGUGUUGGAGCAACAGCGAGACACAUCAAGGCUCCGCAAGGGCAAGGUGCUGGCUCAGCAGGGUGAGCACAGUGAGGCCAUCCCCAUCCUGAGGGCCGCCCUGAAGCUGGAGCCUUCCAACAAGGCAAUCCACUCGGAACUCUCGAAGCUGGUGAAGAAGCAUGCUGCAAAACGAUCUCAGAGACUGCAGUAUACCAGAAGACGCUGGACAACCAGUGCCGGCUGCCUGCUAAGUAUCCUGGAAAAGGGACCCGGUCCAUCCUGUGGAAGUGGCUGUUUGAGGCAACUGCCUUGGCCAUGGAGGGCGUGGCUCUCUCUGUGGUCGUUGCUAUCAGAAACUGA